GGCUGCAGUUUGAGGCGAGCGGGCAGGGGGCUAAGUGGCUGAUUGUAAAGGGGGGCUCUUGUCAUGAGAUGUGGGUUUUCCAGUGGAGGAGUGACUGGUGGAUUCCCAUCGCUGCCGAAACGUCAAUGCAAGCCCUUUAUAAAUGACCACCUCUCCCUUUUUUUUAAAAAAAAAUAUCAGUUCUUGUGUCAGAGUUCCGUCAGAAGCAUCAUUGCCGGUGACAAAUAUUUAAAUACUGCCAGAACGGACGGUGUUAUACGUUUUUUAUCUUCAUGAGGGAGACUUGGGCCCAUUUCUACCCCUUACCCCUUCCCCUUCCCCCUCCCCCUUGUUUUGAAGGGGUAAGGAGAAGGGGUAAGGGGAAGGGGUACGGGGUAGAAAUGGGAUUGGGCCUUAUAAUGGCAGCUAUUGGGCUCUCUGACUGUCCUGUUGCUAUUGUCCAUGGUGUCCCACCUGGUGUGUGUGUGUGUGUGUGUGUGUGUGUGUGUGUGUGUUCUCUAUAGCGCUCUUGGCUAUAGCAGCAUGAGUGAGUCAGGUCCCUGGUAGUGUCUCACUCCAUUGUGCCCCCCCCCCCCCCUUUCACACUGCAAAGGACAAUGAUGCCCAGUGUCCUCUGGCUCACUAUGUCAUAGCUCACAUUCCAAGUGAUACACACACACACACACACACACACACACACACACACACACACACACACACACACACACACACACACACACACACACACACACACACACACACACACACACACACAGACACACAGAACGCAGUUGGCCUCUGACAGCGUAGCCUCGAUUGGUAUCAAGGCCAUUUUAAAUUCAUGAACUAUUCGGCUGGUAUUCAGUGCAUGUGGGAGAAUGUUGUCUGAUUGUGUGUGUGUGUGUGUGUGUGACAGAGGGAGGGAUUCAGAACAGCAGGUCUCUACUGGAUCAAACAGGCUUCAUCAGCACUAAAGGAAGGGAGCCGUUUGGGUAAAGAGGAGAACGGAGCAGGAGAGGAUGAAAGCAAAGACAAACUCUCUGUAGUGUCUCGGAUAUUAGAAUCAACAACUACGUAGCUAAAUGACCGUUGCUCUUGCUUGCUCCCAGUCUCUUUGCCCACCCCUCUUGGUUUAUAUCUGCACAGUGACGGCUGGGAGGAUUGUGUCAGUGAGCCAGGACAGGUGUGAGCCACAUGUCUCUCUCUUUUCCUAGUCUUUUCGCUUCUCUCUUUUUCCUUUCCUCUCUCUUUUUAGUCUUUCUUUCUGGUACCAUCCAACCUUUGACCUCAUGGCUAGCUCCCCCUUCUGCUGGGUGGGGGGGGGGGGGGGGGGCUAUUCCAACUCAAACAUUCACAUACUGUUGAGGGAGGAUAGAUCACUGCUGCUGGGAUACAGCAUACGUAGGUGUACACGGUUUUAUGUGUCAAAACAUCAUUAUCUGGUGUGUUCCGACAGCUGUAUGUGUAUCAUAUCAGCGAAUUGCCCCCUGAAAUAGGUCUCUUCUCUCUCGCUUUCUCUCGCUCUCUUCUUCACCCCCCCCCCACUCCCCCUCUCGUUGCCCUUCAGAACUGUGGCGGCAUCAAUAAUUCAACGGCGCAUCGGAGAACAUAAUCUGCUGUGCCCCAUCCCUCCGUCUCACUCCCAGCUUUAUCUCUCUUUAAAGUCCAGUUCCCUCUUGUUGGUCCCCCCCCCCCCCCCCCCAUCCACUCUGCUGCACUGUGAUUUCCAGUCUCUCACACACAGCUGUUCAGUGUGACGGUGCCCCUGUGUUCUGGAGCUCACAAUCUGCUCUCACCCCCCCCCCCCACCCCCAAACUCCCAUCGUCUGCCCCAAUCGUGUAAGUUGGGGCGGGGUCUCCGAGGGGCCAGCGAGGUGGCUGAGAGGAAAGGGUGGGUCUGUCCCGGUAUGCUGCACAAUAGAGGGAAAAGAAGUGCUCCGGUUCUCCUACCCACACCUGUUGGGGUUGUGACGCUGGAGCUGUCCUGUGCGCAGCUCUGUCCCGUAACCUGGUGAGAUAACCCUCUCAUGCAUACAUGCCUCUCGGACAUGUAUCCUUUCGCAGGCAAACAAAGACGCCUGUACGCACAUAGAAACACACUCGGGAGCGGAAUACCUAUGGAAAUACUGCACACAGAAAAAUGGUGUGUGUGUGUGUGUGUGUGUGUGUGUGUGUGUGUGUGUGUGUGUGUGUGUGUGUGUGUGUGUGUGUGUGUGUGUGUGUGUGUGUGUGUGUGUGUGUGUGUGUGUGUGUCCCAGGGCAUUUAGGCUCCGUCAUUUAAGAAAUGUAAAGAAAAGACUGCUUAGCCUCCUGCUAAUGUUGUGUAACAACCAGUAUUGGAUUUUUUUUUUUUGCCUAGUCUGGACAAUAUAGCCAAAAUCUGUGUAACUUGCCCUAGUGCUAUGUUGAGCAUGAAAGCCAGUACUAUGUGAAUGAUACCUUUCCUACUAGUCAUGCUUACCAAACUGUGUGCAUGCAAUCUUGGGAGUAUGGCAGUGCCUUGUUUAUUGUUAUUGUGCUGUUCGCGUGUCCCCAGUUAUACCCAGGGUUUUAGCAGGCUGAAAUUACACAGGUUAGGGUCCCACUUAAUGACUCAUGUUGAUGCUAAGGAAUGCUCUCCAGGAAGGUUGUGGGAUUGUGUUUCUUUUAAGCAUGACAGUGAAAAUAUUGUUUGGGUUUUUUGUUUAGUUUCAGUGCUGUGUGUGUGUGUGUGUGUGUGUGUGUGUGUGUGUGUGUGUGUGUGUGUGUGUGUGUGUGUGUGUGUGUGUGUGUGUGUGUGUGUGUGUGUGUGUGUGUGUGUGUGUGUGUGUGUGUGUGUGUGUGGUGCAGGGUUAGGGUGUUCCCAGACUAUCAUCCCACUGUGCUCCAUAGCAACCCAGAGUGUUUGUCUGGAGGCGGGGCUGAUGGGAAUGGAGGCGGGGGCUUUGCAGAGCGCUCCCUUCCAGCUCCGGGUGGAGCAGUUUGCAGGGACCUCUGGGUGACCUUUCACUGGAACUGAGAUCCCCGUCUUGGGAUGCUGGGAAUAGGAGUUGGUUUUUUGUGUGGUCACUUGUGGAAUCUGAAGCAGAAACAGAUUUUCUCUUCCUGAUUGCAGAAGUGAAAUCAGAACUGAAUGACACUGGCACGCACCUGGUGGCAAGCACACGCACACACUGUGACCAAUAAUAGCUGCUUUUGUUUCCAUGGACGUCAUGUUGCUAUUGUCUCUUGUUGUGUCCCACCUCCAGUCUCCUAUUCUGACUGAGUCCCUACCACCACGUUCUGUCUUACCGCUGCAGUAUUCGUGUUGGAGGAACUAAAGUAACAAAAAACAAGACAAAUCCAAAUGUUUGCUGCUCAGAUUCUAUCAAGUUCCUAUCAUUUCUAUCAUUUCCUCAUUCCGAGCUGUUCUCUGUUCAUUCCAGUUCAAUGUGGAUCUGUGUUUCUAUAAGCAAGCCUUGAUUGGUCUGUUGGCGGGAUGUGACAUGGUAGAGUUAAGCUGUGAAUAGCAGGACUCCAGAAUGUUGAUCCUGUUCUUCCUGUUAGAGGAAGUAGGGCAUAGUAGCCCCCCCCCCCGUCCCGUCCCGUCCCGUCUCUAUUUUGUAGUUUAUGACCUAUGUUUAUGGCACCAGGGUACCGCUCAGCGUGGGGGUCCGAAUUGUCUUUCCAAUGUCACAAUCAAUGCAUUCCGUACUCUCUCAUCGGUGUUCCUCACACUACAGGAUAUCAGAUUUUUACAUUAAAUAUAUUUACGUAAAAUAAAAUCUUAACAUCUAGCACACCACAGGAUAAACAGGGGGAAAGGUAUGCACCCAUAAUGGCAUUCAGGCAUGCGUAUCCCAUCCUUGUUUUUUUUCACCCCCUCAGCCUUAUGAACACUGAAACAAGUUUUACCAUGUUUUCCCAUUGACUUCUUGUUAAGUAAACCAAGUUUAAGGGAGAAAAAAACAAAACGACACAAAGCUUAUGAAACGUGCACGCAGUUGAAGAGCCUGCGGCUACAGCACAGCCACUGGGAGCAGAGAGGGAUGAAGAGACAAUCUCUUCUGCUCUUCUAUCUCCCUGCUGUUUUCCCACUCUCUGUCUUCCUGCUGCGUACUUCAUUCUGCUUAGGUGUGGAGCAUCUCUCUCUCUCUCUCUCUCUCUCUCUCUCCCUCUCUCCCUCUGUCCCUCUGUCCCUCUGUCCCUCUGUCUCUCUCUCUCCCUCUGUCCCUCUUUCUGUGUGUGUGUGUGGGGGGGGGCUUUCUAUGCCUCCACGUGCCUCUUGGCCCACUUUCUCCAAACCCACUUUCCCCAUCUCCUUAUGUCUCUGCAAACGCCGGGGAUUUAGGGUGCGGGAGAAGCGGCUUGAAAAGAAAGCAGGAGGAUUGAAGGAGCUGAAUAGCGGAAUGCGGUCUUCAAAUGGACGCGUGGAAAUGCACGCAUGCAUGCACUGCAGCAAACCGUUGGCUGUACGUUCUCCACGGAAAAGCAUGCCAUGCGUUAAAGGCACGGUUGAAAUAUUCAUCUGGAAGUGGGUCCCUUCUCCCCCUCCCCAACCCCCACACCCCUCACCCCUUGCCAGGUUUGAGCUGUGCCUCAGAUGACGAGCCAUGGCACAGCAUCUGUGCAGAAAGCGGAGCUGUGGGUGUUGGUGGAAUAUUGUUGCUGUGUGUGUGUGAGAAGAGAGUACGUGUUGGCUGGUUGAAAAAUGGUGGCUGUGUUUCAUUGGCUGGCCGUCGUCACCGGCAACCCUGAUGCUCUCAGCUGCACCUCUGCAGGAGUCAUUACACAGCAAGCUCUUUCUUUCUUUCUUUCUUUCUUUCUUUCUUUCUUUCUUUCUUUCUUUCUUUCUUUCUUUCUUUCUUUCUUUCUUUCUUUCUCUCUUUCUCUCUUUCUCUCUUUCUUUCUCUCUUUCUCUCUUUCUCUCUUUCUUUCUCUCUUUCUUUAAUAUACUUGCACACACACUGUAAAGCCUGAGAAUUACUUAUAUUUCUAUAGGAGCGGACGAGGGAAGGAGGAAGGGGAUUUGUGAUUAAGAGAUUGCAGUGUGCUGCAGAGACUGAUUCAGCUCUUUUUCUAACAACUGUGAACACAGCUGCUUUCUCCCUUUCUGACCCACACAUAUCACACUUUCAUCUCUUUUCCCCAAGGCCCACUCCUAGAGCUCCUCUUCUAUUGGACCCCUUCAACUCAUUGAUGUUCACAAUUUCAUGCUUUAGCACCGGCACAGGCGUAGAUGUGGAGCCAUGAGCGACGGAAUCAUCCCAUAUUUAGCCUUAAUUGUUCACAUCACGCUGCUGACAGCACAGCUCGUUAAACAAAUAACAUACCUCUGGCUGCAAGAGUAUCUGCAAGAGAGAGAGACACACACACACACACACACACACACACACACACACACACACACACACACACACACACACACACACACACACACACACACACACACACACACACACACACACACACACACACAGAGUGUAAUAAGGAAGGCUGCAUCUGCGUUCCUUUAGAUUUGUAUCAGUCCUAGUAGAAUGCCUCUCCAUACCUCCACUGUCUCCUUUCCAUCGCUGCCUGGCGGUAGGCUCCAACUGUUGGUCCUUAUCUCGGGGCAUGGACACACAGUGUAAAGGAGCUGGCAAAGGCAGUGCUGUCAGUGACUGUGACCUUGUAGGUGAACAUGGAGAUUGGGAUCUCUGUUAACGAUCUCUGCAAUGUUUCUCCUUCAUCGCCUUCCCUCCCCAUUGUCGUGAGGUAAAUAUCUCCAGACAUCAGCAGAUACAGCCCCCCCCCCCCAAUUCUCUCGUUUUCCGGCAGCCUGACGUCCUUCGGAAUGCAGCGAUAAGUCGUCUCUGCAUAGAUACGCCAACGCUGCGAAUGCAGUCCCACGCCCAUGCACGUUUGGCACUAUCGCAACAUCUGUGUGUGGGUGUGUGUGUGUGGUGGCCUCCAUCUCGUUUGCUAGGUGGGCUUUCUUGACAGCAGCCAUCCUUCAUACCGGCGAGUCGACGACGGGAAGCGAACACACCUCUCUCUCGCUCUAGCUCUCUCAGAGAGAGAGAGAGAGAGAGAGAGAGAGAGAGAUCCACUGAAGAAUGCAAGAGCUGAGGUGACUGAGAGGGUGAUGAGUGAGAAGAGGAAGGCGUAAUGACUUGAGAGCUCUCCACUGGUGUCUGGACGGGACUUAUAAACAUCCAUCCUUCUGGUGGAAUUAUUGGAAUCCUCCAUCGAACAUGCCACUAACGAGGAUGAUGAAAACCAAGAUGUUUUACCAGAUGACUCUGUGUCCGCAAGUGAAAGAGAUCCACACUCAUUCAUUAAUUUUCCAUCCGAAAGUAUCCGCAGACUCAGAAGAUGCUUGUAAUGCCUAAUGCUCGGAGAGAGAGAGAGAGGAAGAGGCAUGUCCAAGUCUGUCCUGCUGGAUCUAAGUCACCCGGCUGGCCGUGGUGGGACAGACAGUAGUGCAGGCAGUCACACAACCCUCAUGCUCCUUUUCCAAUGCUAGUGGUGAAGAUUAGGCAAAUCCCUGGUCUAGCUGCUAAGCUGAUUAACAGGGACGUUAUGCAUUGGCCCUUUGGAAACACUGAAAAACCCAAUAAACCCACAGACAGUUGGACCCCCCCGCCAGAUUAAUAUUGUCCGGUCCUGCACGCCCAGGGCGGUGUCAUUAGUGUGUCUGUGCAUGCAUACAUAGGCACUUGUCAUUCCUUUUGGUCUGAUACCUCUCCCUUCAGACAGAUGGCUCAGCCCACUUGAUGGUACCCAUGUGCGAGCCUGCAGCAAAAGUGUGUGUGUGUGUGUGUGUGUGUGUGUGUGUGUGUGUGUCAGACUUGGGUCCAGAUGGCUAUGUCCGGCGGUGACAGGAAAUCGAGAUGAAUCCAGGUGGAUGGGGUGGCCUUGAAGAUGCAGAACACACAGAGAGAGACACACACAGAGAGAGUCCAGGGACACACAAGCUGGUUGGCUGCUUCCGUUCAUAGGAUAAGACGUUUGUUUUGUGUAAUUGGUAAGUAAGAGUCUCAUUAGUUUAUUGAAUUUCUGUAGAUGGUUCGUGUGCCCCGGUCAGCUGUUUAUCCCAACUAGAGUCCAUGAGCUGUCCUCCCCACUGACGUGCUCCGAGGCAGUUUAAAGGCCAAAGCAGGAGACUUUAAAUGAAGGAGUAGCUGGUUACCUUUUUAAUAAGCACAGCCAUUUAAUUAUUCAAAAGCCUGCCCCAAUCUCCACUGAUCUCUUCUGUCAUCAUAUUAGAUCAGAGCGUUGGUAGACUCUGGGGUUGGGUUUGAUGCCGGAGGCCAGAGGGGGAGGUGGUCCUGCUAUUUGAGAGAGGGGUACAAUGUGUGCCAGUCCCAGGUGGCAUCCUGGGUAGAAGAAGGAAGAAGGAGGGUUCAGUGUGGAAGACGGUCAGAGGGGAUGUUCUGCAGAAGGGGUUCAGGCUGGAUGAGUUUAUAUUGGGGGCGGGGGGAGGUUAGUUCCAGCUAGUACUGAUGGCGCUGUAGUGUUUUUGUUUUGGUCAGUUGUUAUGGGAGACUGACCUCCGUCGCUGGCUGUGUGACCCACGAUGACCCCUGACCAUUCUGCCCCCUAUUCCCCCCCCCCCCUCCCCCCAACCCCCGGUUCUCGAGCCAAGUAGAGUGGGAAGACCCCCCGUGUCAGAGCCCACAUGGCAGGAGGAAACUACCGGAUACGUUUCCCCUGUGUAGUCACCUCCUGUGUAGCCAUCACAAGACUUCCUGCCUUUCCUCCCUUUCCUUUUAGCCAGAGAUGGAGUGUCCACUCGUAGUAAAAAGUUUCCUACAUUGAUUUCCACGCAACGCCGCUUGGUGAAAAGAAAAAAGAAAAUAACGUGAGCCAUGAUGGUUAAAACAAACCCUAAAUCUCUCUUCCUCAAUUCCCCUCCCCCCCUAUAUUUCUCACCCAACCCCUCGCUCCUACUAGAGUAACGCAAGUCUGCUGCGGUUUGGCUGUCGCAGGGUUUUCCAUGUAAGAAAAAAAGGUCUAUGCCGGUUAACUUGCCUCCUUUAAGGCGACACUGCUUUCCCUGAAAACAUUGAGUUCCGUGUGAAAGGAAAGGCCCGAGUGUGUGUGUUUGUUUUGAGAGGAAAGGUCCAAGACCUAUGGAAAAGGCAUUGGUUGGAGUCUUUCCAUUCCAGAAACAGUUUUCCCUCAAACUGUACUGUAAUUCUAUCUCUUCCUCUACUCUCUGUGUGUGUGUGUGUGUGUGUGUGUGUGUGUGUGUGUGUGUGUGUGUGUGUGUGUGUGUGUGUGUGUGUGUGUGUGUGUGUGUGUGUGUGUGUGUGUGUGUGU
This is a long non-coding RNA of Gadus macrocephalus (Pacific cod), 8244 nucleotides long. RefSeq lists it as uncharacterized. The record is from RefSeq and is a predicted model, not a curated record. The transcript is spliced from 2 exons. Lineage: Eukaryota; Metazoa; Chordata; Actinopteri; Gadiformes; Gadidae.